UUAAAGUCCGGGUUGCGUUGAUUUUCCUCCUCCAUCGCAAUCGACAGGCCAAAGACAAACGUUGACAGAUGCGGCGUGGUAUUAAACAGCACCAGAUGGCGCUGUAAGGCGCGCCCCAGUUCGGCGGCUGCAACUCGACUCCAUGAAGUCGGAAUCGCUAGUAAUCGUGGAUCAGAAUGCCACGGUGAAUACGUUCCCGGGCCUUGUACACACCGCCCGUCACACCAUGGGAGUGGGUUGCAAAAGAAGUAGGU
RNAcentral lists this ribosomal RNA (254 nucleotides) under Salmonella enterica subsp. enterica serovar Kentucky. Its description in RNAcentral is "partial 16S ribosomal RNA". It matches the Rfam family "Bacterial small subunit ribosomal RNA", at positions 1168 to 1431 of the family's 1533-position model. The record is from RNAcentral. Lineage: Bacteria; Pseudomonadati; Pseudomonadota; Gammaproteobacteria; Enterobacterales; Enterobacteriaceae.